Long non-coding RNA from Chelonia mydas (Green sea turtle), 854 nucleotides. RefSeq lists it as uncharacterized. The transcript has 3 exons. The record is from RefSeq and is a predicted model, not a curated record. Lineage: Eukaryota; Metazoa; Chordata; Testudines; Cheloniidae.
GAGUGGGAAGGGCUAGCUGCCUGGGACCAAGGUACCUGAAGUAGCCCAGUGCUGGGGAAGUGUAAAGGGAGCUCCAGCCUGGUAAACCCCUAGGCUGCAGGCCUUAGGAAAGGCCCAGAAAGGUACUGGGACUGCAGAGGGGCAGCAUGAGGAUAGGCAAAAGCAGCAGGUCCUAACCCCUUGCCAAUGAUGAGUGGCCUUUACAGACUGCAGUCUGCCCCAGUGACUGGGGGCUAGAUGAUGACUGGCAGUAGCCACUGAGGCAAGGUGGGUUUAGAGGGUUAGGGGUUCCCCCUGGGAGGGGAGACCCAGAGUGUGGUGACACUUCCAGGGGGCAGGACCCCAAGGUAAAGGGGUACUGGGGUUUGAGAGGAACAUGGGGGCCAGUGGCAGGUGAUCCACUGGCCUGCAGAGGGUUCUCUGAAGGCUGAAAAGAACUAAUUCCCAAGAUGACCAGCAGGAGGUGCUGCACUGCAAAAUGCCCAGGUUUGUUGAGCACACUUGCCAGAUCUUCACCAACAAACACCACUACUAGCACUCCUCCCCAAUGCAUGCCUUAUCCGGAAUAAAUGGUUACAUGAAGGGCAAACCAUCCCCCAGAAAGCCAGUCAUUAGAAACCUUUGGUCAAAUGCAGACAGGCAACAGCCACUUCGCACAAGUGCACUUCAGGUGAAGACCCCAGAUUGCUGCUGAUUAGUGUCAGGUUCCCCACACCGAUUACAUCUCUUGCGAGGCAACAUCUCCUUCCAUCAAGGGAGACCAUGAUAGUACAUAUGAGAUGAAGACCAACCUAAUGAAUGUGACCCCCCCCCUCGAGUUAUAUAGUAAUGAUACUUUUAUUCACAAAAGGAAU